AGUAGUGUGAUAAACUGUAAAUAACGUUGAACUCGCGGGUUUUCCGGAUUGCCUCUAUACAUAUGAUAAAGUUUCUUCAAGAUAUCCAAACGAUUUUUAACACAUCUCCAACUCAAAUUUUUUUCAUAGUCGCAGCAAUACGGUCGAGCGUCGAGUCUGCUGGAUUUUGUUUACGCUUUCUGUUCCUGCUUACAUUUUUCACUUGAGUGUGUGUGGAAGAUCUCUCUUGUGAUGCAAAUGGCGGAUCCGAGUUAGCUGAAGUUGGAGAAUUUUCCAUCGGGGUUUGUGACAUCCAAUCUGGGGUUGGUGGUCUCAUAUGAUCACGUUCACGAUUUUGCAUCAGAUCUUCUCUCUCAUCUCCAUUAUUGUUUGGACAUUCACUGUCGCUUAAGUCCAGUACUGGAGCACGACGAUGUACACCACGUCUUGGUUGCCAUGACUCUUCAACGACAACAGUUUCAUCUCGGAAGACUACAUCAAGAAGUGGUAUAAACCGCAGUGGAUGCGACCGAAGUUUAGCAGCUUCAGGAUAAGCCCAAUAAACCAAAAACAAAAGCCAAUCAAAAUAAGAAUAUAAAAUAAGAAAUUAACAUAUACAUAUGUGAUAACAUACCUUAAUUUUAUCUUUCCACCAAUGAUCAGGGGCAUCAAGACUUCCUGUCCUUUGAUUAGUUCCGAGACCAGUUGAC
Molecule: small RNA, 689 nt
Filed under: Arabidopsis thaliana (thale cress)
Lineage: Eukaryota; Viridiplantae; Streptophyta; Magnoliopsida; Brassicales; Brassicaceae
Description: putative long intergenic non-coding RNA
Source: RNAcentral